This 663-nucleotide ribosomal RNA is filed under the name Pristimantis minimus. RNAcentral's name for it is "partial large subunit ribosomal RNA". It matches the Rfam family "Bacterial large subunit ribosomal RNA", at positions 1646 to 2605 of the family's 2925-position model. The record is from RNAcentral. Lineage: Eukaryota; Metazoa; Chordata; Amphibia; Anura; Strabomantidae.
CCGUUAACCUAACACCAGAGCAUUUCAGGAAAGAUUAAGAGAAAAAAAAGGAACUCGGCAAAUUUCAACCCCGCCUGUUUACCAAAANCAUCGCCUCUCGACCCCAUGAGAGGUCCAGCCUGCCCAGUGACUCUGUUCAACGGCCGCGGUAUUCUGACCGUGCAAAGGUAGCGUAAUCACUUGCCUUCUAAAUGGGGGCCAGUAUGAAGGGCACCACGAGGGCUAAACUGUCUCCUCUUUCUAAUCAGUGAACCUAAUCUCCCCGUGAAGAAGCGGGGAUCCAAACAUAAGACGAGAAGACCCUAUGGAGCUUAAAACAUCAUACACUUGCCACCCCCCUCCCCCAACCACUCAGGUAUCCUCCCCCAAUGGCAUCCUGAUUGCAUGUUUUUGGUUGGGGUGACCGCGGAGAAAAACUCAUCCUCCACAGUGAAAGGGGCCCUCCCCUAAACAACAAGUCACAACUUUAUGUAUCAAUAAAUUGACACCAUCGACCCAACAAGUUGAUUAAUGAACCAAGUUACCCUAGGGAUAACAGCACAAUCCGCUUUGAGAGCUCCUAUCGACAAGCGGGCUUAUGACCUCGAUGUUGGAUCGAGAUGUCCAAGUGGUGCAGCCGCUACUAAUGGUUCGUUUGUUCAACGAUUAAAAUCUUACGUGAUC